UGGCGGCUGCUAUACAUGCAGUCGAACGCUUCUUUCCUCCCGAGUGCUUGCACUCAAUUGGAAAGAGGAGUGGCGGACGGGUGAGUAACACGUGGGUAACCUACCCAUCAGAGGGGGAUAACACUUGGAAACAGGUGCUAAUACCGCAUAACAGUUUAUGCCGCAUGGCAUAAGAGUGAAAGGCGCUUUCGGGUGUCGCUGAUGGAUGGACCCGCGGUGCAUUAGCUAGUUGGUGAGGUAACGGCUCACCAAGGCCACGAUGCAUAGCCGACCUGAGAGGGUGAUCGGCCACACUGGGACUGAGACACGGCCCAGACUCCUACGGGAGGCAGCAGUAGGGAAUCUUCGGCAAUGGACGAAAGUCUGACCGAGCAACGCCGCGUGAGUGAAGAAGGUUUUCGGAUCGUAAAACUCUGUUGUUAGAGAAGAACAAGGACGUUAGUAACUGAACGUCCCCUGACGGUAUCUAACCAGAAAGCCACGGCUAACUACGUGCCAGCAGCCGCGGUAAUACGUAGGUGGCAAGCGUUGUCCGGAUUUAUUGGGCGUAAAGCGAGCGCAGGCGGUUUCUUAAGUCUGAUGUGAAAGCCCCCGGCUCAACCGGGGAGGGUCAUUGGAAACUGGGAGACUUGAGUGCAGAAGAGGAGAGUGGAAUUCCAUGUGUAGCGGUGAAAUGCGUAGAUAUAUGGAGGAACACCAGUGGCGAAGGCGGCUCUCUGGUCUGUAACUGACGCUGAGGCUCGAAAGCGUGGGGAGCAAACAGGAUUAGAUACCCUGGUAGUCCACGCCGUAAACGAUGAGUGCUAAGUGUUGGAAGGGUUUCCGCCCUUCAGUGCUGCAGCAAACGCAUUAAGCACUCCGCCUGGGGAGUACGACCGCAAGGUUGAAACUCAAAGGAAUUGACGGGGGCCCGCACAAGCGGUGGAGCAUGUGGUUUAAUUCGAAGCAACGCGAAGAACCUUACCAGGUCUUGACAUCCUUUGACCACUCUAGAGAUAGAGCUUUCCCUUCGGGGACAAAGUGACAGGUGGUGCAUGGUUGUCGUCAGCUCGUGUCCUGAGAAGUUGGGGUUAAGUCCCGCAACGAGCGCAACCCUUAUUGUUAAUUGCCACCAUUUAAUUGGGACUCUUUCGGAAAUGCCCGUGACAAACCCGAGGAGAGUGGGGGAUAAACGCCAAACAACCAAAGCCCCUUAU
RNAcentral lists this ribosomal RNA (1196 nucleotides) under Enterococcus faecalis. RNAcentral's name for it is "bacterial SSU rRNA". It matches the Rfam family "Bacterial small subunit ribosomal RNA", at positions 37 to 1205 of the family's 1533-position model. Lineage: Bacteria; Bacillati; Bacillota; Bacilli; Lactobacillales; Enterococcaceae. The record is from RNAcentral.